UCUCCGUUGGUGAACCAGCGGAGGGAUCAUUACAGAGUUUUCACAACUCCCAACCCUCGCGAACGUUACCAAACUGUUGCCUCGGCGGGAAAUUCAUGCCCCGGGCGCGUCGCAGCCCCGGACCAAGGCGCCCGCCGGAGGACCGACCAAACCUCUUUUGUAUGUCCCUCGCGGACUUUUAUAAUUCUGAACCAUCUCGGCGCCCCUAGCGGGCGUUUCGAAAAUGAAUCAAAACUUUCAACAACGGAUCUCUUGGUUCUG
This 261-nucleotide unclassified non-coding RNA is filed under the name plant metagenome. Its description in RNAcentral is "partial contains small subunit ribosomal RNA, internal transcribed spacer 1, and 5.8S ribosomal RNA". The record is from RNAcentral.